AACGAACGCUGGCGGCGCGCUUAACACAUGCAAGUCGCACGCACCCUUCGGGGUGAGUGGCGCACGGGUGAGUAACGCGUGGGAACCUGCCCUGGUGUCUGGGACAACCGCGGGAAACUGCGGCUAAUACCGGAUGGUACCCUGUGGGGGAAAGCGAGAGCCGCACUGGGAUGGGCCCGCGUCCGAUUAGCUUGUUGGUGGGUAACGCCACAAGGCGGUGAUCGGUAGCCGGUCUGAGAGGAUGAUCGGCCACACUGGGACUGAGACACGGCCCAGACUCCUACGGGAGGCAGCAGUGGGGAAUCUUGGACAAUGGGCGCAAGCCUGAUCCAGCGACGCCGCGUGGGUGACGAAGGCCUUCGGGUGUAAAGCCCUUUUCCUGGGACGAUGAUGACGGAACCCGGGAUAAGCACUGGCUAACUCCGUG
RNAcentral lists this ribosomal RNA (427 nucleotides) under uncultured bacterium. Its description in RNAcentral is "bacterial SSU rRNA". It matches the Rfam family "Bacterial small subunit ribosomal RNA", at positions 28 to 507 of the family's 1533-position model. The record is from RNAcentral.